GGGGUUGUGGCUCAGUGGUAGAGCGCUUGCCUAGCAUGUAUGAUUUGAUUUGGGUUUGAUUCUCAGCACUGCA
This 73-nucleotide transfer RNA is filed under the name Marmota monax (woodchuck). Its description in RNAcentral is "tRNA.Ala". Lineage: Eukaryota; Metazoa; Chordata; Mammalia; Rodentia; Sciuridae. The record is from RNAcentral.